UAUGUUUAUAAAGAGCCAGAUUCCAUGCUUUAAAAUCAUUCAUACCAGUCCAAGUGCUGUUCAGGCCCUUGUGUCUGUGCUAUACAUUACAGUGAAACAAGCUAGCGUAUUGUUGGAGAGCUAUAGACAGAUGACAAAUUAAGAGAAAAGUCUGGAUAAAAAGUGGAGAAACAUAACAAAAGCAGAUGCUUUCAUAUUGUUGUACUACAUACAAUGAGCAGUUCACAUCAGAUAACGUUCUGUGACGUGGGAAUUUUUGAUCUAUGAUCAAGGUGGCCUGAGCAAAAGCUCUGAGUAACUCAUUCAAGACAGAUACACAUGUGAGAGAUAAAGGGGACAUAUCACCCUUUUUGUGAUUUUCUGUUAUUUAUAUGUAGCCGGGUGGUAAAUUGGUUCAGAUGUAAUGUAAUUUCCACUUAGGUCUAAUAUAGCUCUCAAAGCUGUUUACAUGUGUUAAUACAUGUGUUCUUUGUUUUUCUUUUGAGUGUAAAAUUGUUUAAGUCUUAAUUAAAAUGUGAGGGAGACUGUAAGUGGGCUGUGACAGUCUAACUGGCUAUUGCUGAUUUUGGUCACAAGGUGGCAGCGUUGAGUAAUAUUGUUGUCGCUCCACCAAGUGCAUCUUGGUCUUUCUUCCUGUUAAUGUGCGAACGACCUGGAAAUUUGCAGAGUGGAAAAGUCUUGUAAAGUAGAAGGUAAACGACAGCAUGUUGAGUUGUGUAAUCUCCAGGGAGCUCCACAUGGAUUUGGUGAGUCUUGUUGAAACGUGUCUUGUUGAAAUACUGCUGUAUUUUGAUUUUGUUAUUUUUCUUUUAAAUCUUUUUUUUUUGUGUUAUAUCUGCCACAAUCUGUGAAAGCACAUGAGCUGUGUUCUAAAAGGACUCAGUAGCUUACACACUCUGUUAAAAUGACCUGAUGCAAAUGUGGUAAACAAUAAAAUUAGAGCUACAAGAACCCUUGAA
This is a long non-coding RNA of Thunnus maccoyii (southern bluefin tuna), 959 nucleotides long. RefSeq lists it as uncharacterized. The transcript is spliced from 2 exons. The record is from RefSeq and is a predicted model, not a curated record. NCBI's taxonomy places the organism in Eukaryota, Metazoa, Chordata, Actinopteri, Scombriformes, Scombridae.